AUUGAACGCUGGCGGAAUGCUUUACACAUGCAAGUCGAACGGCAGCACGGGAGCUUGCUCCUGGUGGCGAGUGGCGAACGGGUGAGUAACAUAUCGGAACGUACCCAGUCGUGGGGGAUAACUAUCCGAAAGGAUAGCUAAUACCGCAUACGUCCUGAGGGAGAAAGCGGGGGAUCGCAAGACCUCGCGCGAUUGUAGCGGCUGAUAUCGGAUUAGCUAUUUGGUGGGGUAAAGGCUCACCAAGGCGACGAUCCGGAGCGGGUCUGAGAGGACGACCCCCCACGCUGGAACUGAGCCACUGUCCCGACUCCUACGGUCGGCAGCAGUGGGGAAUUUUUGACACUGGAGCCAGCCCUGAUCCGGCCAUUCCGCGUGAGUGAAGAAGGCCCUCGUGUUGUAGAGCUCUUUCAGCAGGAGCGCAACGGUCGGCUUUCCUAAAGUCGGCUAAUGACGGUAGCUGCUGCAGAAGCACCGGCUAACUACGUG
RNAcentral lists this ribosomal RNA (486 nucleotides) under uncultured bacterium. RNAcentral's name for it is "partial 16S ribosomal RNA". It matches the Rfam family "Bacterial small subunit ribosomal RNA", at positions 30 to 507 of the family's 1533-position model. The record is from RNAcentral.